AUUGAACGCUGGCGGCAUGCUUUACACAUGCAAGUCGAACGGUAACAGGCCUUCGGCUGCUGACGAGUGGCGAACGGGUGAGUAAUGCAUCGGAACGUACCCAGAGGUGGGGGAUAACGCAGCGAAAGCUGUGCUAAUACCGCAUGUGAUCUGAGGAUGAAAGCGGGGGACCGAGCAGCAAUGUUUGGCCUCGCGCCUUUGGAGCGGCCGAUGUCGGAUUAGCUAGUUGGUGGGGUAAAGGCCUACCAAGGCGACGAUCCGUAGCUGGUCUGAGAGGACGACCAGCCACACUGGGACUGAGACACGGCCCAGACUCCUACGGGAGGCAGCAGUGGGGAAUUUUGGACAAUGGGCGCAAGCCUGAUCCAGCAAUGCCGCGUGCGGGAAGAAGGCCUUCGGGUUGUAAACCGCUUUUGGCAGGAACGAAACGGUGUCCGCUAAUACCGGGCGCUAAUGACGGUACCUGCAGAAUAAGCACCGGCUAACUACGUG
This 492-nucleotide ribosomal RNA is filed under the name uncultured bacterium. RNAcentral's name for it is "partial 16S ribosomal RNA". It matches the Rfam family "Bacterial small subunit ribosomal RNA", at positions 29 to 507 of the family's 1533-position model. The record is from RNAcentral.